AAUUAUAUAGCUUACAUAUAGAGCAAUUUACUGAAGAUAAAGAGGACUAUAACAG
This 55-nucleotide transfer RNA is filed under the name Corythalia opima. Its description in RNAcentral is "tRNA-Phe". The record is from RNAcentral. Lineage: Eukaryota; Metazoa; Arthropoda; Arachnida; Araneae; Salticidae.